This 425-nucleotide ribosomal RNA is filed under the name uncultured bacterium. RNAcentral's name for it is "partial 16S ribosomal RNA". It matches the Rfam family "Bacterial small subunit ribosomal RNA", at positions 354 to 796 of the family's 1533-position model. The record is from RNAcentral.
GUGGGGAAUCUUGCGCAAUGGGCGAAAGCCUGACGCAGCCAUGCUGCGUGAAUGAUGAAGGUCUUAGGAUUGUAAAAUUCUUUCACCGGGGACGAUAAUGACGGUACCCGGAGAAGAAGCCCCGGCUAACUUCGUGCCAGCAGCCGCGGUAAUACGAAGGGGGCUAGCGUUGCUCGGAAUUACUGGGCGUAAAGGGCGCGUAGGCGGACAGUUUAGUCAGAGGUGAAAGCCCAGGGCUCAACCUUGGAAUUGCCUUUGAUACUGGCUGUCUUGAGUACGGGAGAGGGGAGUGGAACUCCGAGUGUAGAGGUGAAAUUCGUAGAUAUUCGGAAGAACACCAGUGGCGAAGGCGACUCACUGGCCCGUUACUGACGCUGAGGCGCGAAAGCGUGGGGAGCAAACAGGAUUAGAUACCCGAGUAGUCC